RNAcentral lists this ribosomal RNA (253 nucleotides) under uncultured bacterium. RNAcentral describes it as "partial 16S ribosomal RNA". It matches the Rfam family "Bacterial small subunit ribosomal RNA", at positions 524 to 776 of the family's 1533-position model. The record is from RNAcentral.
GACGUAGGGCGCGAGCGUUGUCCGGAUUUACUGGGCGUAAAGAGCGCGUAGGCGGCUCGGUAAGUGUGAAGCUAAAUCUCUGGGCUCAACCCAGAAACUAUUUCGCAUACUGCCAAGCUGGAGUGAUGAAGAGGUUUGUGGAAUUCCUGGUGUAGCGGUGAAAUGCGCAGAUAUCGGGAAGAACACCCGUGGCGAAGGCGGCUCUCUGGGACGGUACUGACGCUGAGACGCGAAAGCGUGGGGAGCGAACAGG